Molecule: long non-coding RNA, 1535 nt
Filed under: Fragaria vesca (wild strawberry)
Lineage: Eukaryota; Viridiplantae; Streptophyta; Magnoliopsida; Rosales; Rosaceae
Description: long non-coding RNA (FVES_LNC002425)
Source: RNAcentral
UGAUCGUUAAGGCCCUCAAACUCGAGUUUUUCUGGUAUGAACACAACCGGACAGAAUUAUGUCCAUCCAUUUGUUUUUCGAGUUUGAGGGCCUUAACGAUCACCAAAUUGGCUAAAAUUUUGCAGAGAUGAUCUACACAAUAUUAUCUAGAUACUAGACGGUGGAGAUGAGAAAAUUCGAUCGGAAAGUGGUGCAAAAAUGGAAAUCCGCACCAAAAAAUCGGUGCGGACGUCCGCAGCUGAGAAAAUCCGUAUAUAUAUAUAUAUAUACACAGAGCCGUUCAGAGUGGAUGUCCGCAUUGGGUUUAAAGUGCGGACGUCUCUUCGUUCUCCACCAUACGGCGCCGGCGCCGGCGCGCCUCCAUCCCAGCGGACUCCAGCAGCGUCCCCGAUCACUUUCCAUCCUCGGCGGACUCACCGAAUUUCAGUUUUCCGGUGAGAUCAGUUAAAACUUCAAACAAGAUCGAUCUCGCCGGAAAAAUGGAAUUCGACGGACUCGCCGGAGAGGGAAAGUGAUCGGGGACGUUGCUGGAGUCCGCUUGGGUGGAGGCGUGCCGUUGUCGGAGCCGUACGGUGGAGAACGAAGGGACAUCCGCACUUUAAGGCUGGUGCGGACGUCCGCUCUUGAUCCGGCCUGCAUACACACACACACAAUUUCCUUCCAUAGCUGGACACCAUUUUGAAAUUAAAGUGUGAUGCUCCUCGUUUCGCUCACUUUAGGUCACAUUUUCACAUCUUUACCAUUCAGUAUAUAGAAUAGUGUGUAGAUCAUUUUUGCAAAAUUUCAUCCAACUUGGAGAUCAUCUGGGUACCGAAUUAGAUUAAAUGAAUCAACUGAACAAAAUCUGUCCAAACGGAACAGUUCGUGUAAAUAACAAUUACGGAAGCUCAAAUGAUCUCCAAAUUAGAUGAAACUUUACAAAAAUGAUCUACACACUAUGUUAUAAACACUAAACGGUGGAGAUGUGAAAAUAUGAUCUAAAAUUAAAGUGAGCGGAACGAGGAGCACCACAUUUUAAUUUCAAAACGGUGUCCCACUCUGGAAGGGAACUGUGUGUGUGUGUGUCUAUAUAUAUACGGAGGAUCUAAAGAGGACCUCCUUACUUUAAGAAUUUGAGGAUUUCUACUAUUUUACAUUAGUAUAUGACUUCAUUUAACGAUCUCAACCGUUGAUCCUCUAGAUUCAUAUGCAAGAAACAUGUCUACAAAAUUUCAACUAAUUUCAUAAUCAUUUGGUCAUUCAAAUUGACGUAAACAAUUGUAGACCGUUAGAUAAAAUUAAAAUAAAUAUUGUGCUAAUCAAGUGGUUAAACGUUUUUCUAUUUGGCUAAUUUUUUGUAUGAUUCAUAUGUGGGUAAGUAACUAGGGAAUGAGUGGCUUUGUUUGUCAAAAUACAUGCUAGAACUAAAAACAUCCUCACUUUAAGAGUUUAAGGAGGUCCUCUCUAGAUAUGUGAUAAACGCAUAAAGUGUUAUGAUAUUAACGUAUUUUUUACCCUAUUUAGUUAUGUUAUUUCUUUAAUAAUACUAUUUCUAA